CUUGCCUUAACAGGAAGCCAGUGUAGGGAGGCUAGCACUGGAGUAAUAUGAUCAAAUUUUUUGGUUCUAGUCAGGAUUCUAGCAGCCGUAUUUAGCACUAACUGAAGUUUGUUUAGUGCUUUAUCCGGGUAGCCAGAAAGUAGAGCAUUGCAGUAGUCCAGCCUAGAAGUAACAAAAGCAUGGAUUAAUUUUUCUGCGUCAUUUUUGGACAGAAAGUUUCUGAUUUUUGCAAUGUUACGUAGAUGGAAAAAAGCUGUCUUUGAAACAGUCUUGAUAUGUUCUUCAAAAGAGAGAUCAGGGUCCAGAGUAACGACGAGGUCCUUCACAGUUUUAUUUGAGACGACUGUACAACCAUCCAGAUUAAUUGUCAGAUUCAACAGAAGAUCUCUUUGUUUCUUGGGACCUAGAACAAGCAUCUCUGUUUUGUCCGAGUUUAAAAGUAGAAAGUUUGUAGCCAUCCACUUCUUUAUGUCUGAAACACAGGCUUCUAGCGAGGGCAAUUUUGGGGCUUCACCAUGUUUCAUUGAAAUGUACAGCUGUGUGUCAUCCGCAUAGCAGUGAAAUUUAACAUUAUGUUUUCGAAUGACAUCCCCAAGAGGUAAAAUAUAUAGUGAAAACAAUAGUGGUCCUAAAACGGAACCUUGAGGAACACCGAAAUUUACAAUUGAUUUGUCAGAGGACAAACCAUUCACAGAGACAAACUGAUAUCUUUCCGACAGAUAAGAUCUAAACCAGGCCAGAACUUGUCCGUGUAGACCAAUUUGGGUUUCCAAUCUCUCCAAGCUUGAAACCCUAGGCCUAUAUGUAUUGUCUAUAUUUUGUUGAACCCGGGGUUGAAUUGAAACAAUAGCUGUUGAUGAGUUUUUAAAUGCUAUAUAUGCCUAACUAGUAUUAAUUGAUGAUAUACUGUAUGAUUUAUAAAGUAUGGUUACAUUUAAUUUGAUCUGUUAAACCUACCCAUUGGAAUGACUUCGAUAGCAACAGUGAAUAUAUUUUGUUAUUAAGAGGUCUCAAUAAUCAUUCUCACGAUAGCACAUUGGUAGUAGUCAGUGACAAAUAUCAAAGCUGGGCUUGGUUAAAACCCUGCAUGGGAGACCAAAUGAAUAGCUGUACUGUAGAUGGAGCAACUCUCCAGUAGGAGGUGCUGCCCAGCCUAUAAUUUUUUUUUUUAAUGGUGGAUAUAACGUCGAAGAUCUGAUGUUGUGUUAAAGGUACAUGUUCGACAUUUUAUACAAGGUUUCUAUGUUGAAAAUGGCUUACAAUGAUGGCAUAAUCCUGUGGUUGGAAUUUCAGCCUCUGAACAACAGUUUGAUGACUUUGACUUUUACAAAUCCAAUGUUAUUUCCAUGUAGAGUCCACAUCACAAUACGUUGACAAAUUACAUUGAAACAAUGUUGAUUCAACCAGUUUGUGCCCAGUGGGUAGGGUCCUAAUGCCUUAAAUGGCUCACAACCAUAAACUACUAACCAAGGACUAUUUUACUUAUUGUUUUGUAUCAAAUGUAACAGAUGCUGCAAUGAUUAAGAAGAUGUCACUAAUAUAUUGUAAUUGUCAUACAUUGAUUAUGUAUGCUUUCGUAACGCAAUUUUCUUCUCAGGUUAUUUGUGGAAAUAACCACAAAUUAUUAAUAAUCACACAUUUAUUCUCAGUAUUACAUUAACAACUUGUCAUAAUUUUCUGGUUACAUGGUUUAUAUUUGCUAGUCGGUUAAUAUAUAUAUAUUUGGUAGGAGGGAGUCUAUUAGUGGAUUUAUCCAUGUAUGAGUUAUUGUGUCCAUACACUCUGGUGAUUUCAGGAAAACUGUGUAAUAACAAAAUACUAACCAGAGAUAAAUGACCUGCUAAUAUAAAUGACAAUCAAAUAAUACUACAUAUUUCUUCUUAUUUUCUUUAAAGUUACAUUAGCUAAAUAACUACAUCAUUAGUAUCAGAUUGGAGUUCCCCCACGUUCAUUAGAUAUUGUAAUAUUUGAAUGGGAAAGUCCUUCUGUGAAACAUCCGUCAAACAGACCUUCUGUAUGUAUGCCUCAAAAUUCCUUUACAUGAUUAAGUCACUAGCCAUAACAAAAUGUAACAUCAUAUUGGAAUUCCAAUCAAACUAAAUGUGCCCUUUGACAUGAAGGUUGAAAUGCAUUGCGGAGUAAUAACAAUCUUUAACUGUACAAUGUUAAUGACAAUCCUAGCAGUCUCUGCUGUGUACAUUGAGUCACUAUCACUUCAUCUGUCACAGUCACUCUCAUGAAGACUGGUGCUGUUCAUUUAGGUUGAAGAGAUGCUUAAAGAAAGUUGUAGAAUGCUUAAAGUAUGUGCUGUUUUACCCUUUUACUAUGUGCAAUGUCAAUUUUGAAGAAAAAAAGUUUCUAGGCAGGUUUGUACUCAUGUAAAAGAGAUAUAGUUGUAUACUAUACUACUAUGUGAAUGAAAUGGAAAUAUUUUUGUAUUAAAAUAUCUUUAACAUUCCUUCAACCAUAAAUAUAAGCAGUAUCUUUACUGAGGUACAGCUUGUAUCUGCUAAAUACUUUGUUAGAAUGACUAAUCCACACUAAAGACUCAGGUCAACUGGUCUGAGAAUGAUGCUGGCAUGAGGGAAAAGGGAGCCAUUCUAUUUUUCAGUAGAACUUGUGUUGGCCUAUUGCUGGGGUCAGCCCAACGUAAACAUUGUUUUAAGUGAUAUGAGCAACACAUUGUUUCAACAUCAUUACUGUGUCAGUUUGUUAUUACUCUAAAGACACAACAUUGACUCUAUUCAAGACCUACAUGCAGAUUUGUUUAGACAACUGUCCUAUUAAUGCUGCAUCAUUUUAAAAUACUGUUUGUUGAUUGUCAGCAAAACGACUCCCUAGGUUGUCCUCCACUCAACCUUAUCAUAAAAACUGUUGUUGGUUCAGUGUGCUCAAUGUCCAAUCAUAAGGUAGACUGCCUUUUGAAGCUGGUUGAAGGAACAUGUAGUGUAUGUUUAAAUAUCAAGCUCAUAGAAUAACAGUAAACCAUGUUCUCACAAGUGUCCAGUGUACUCUCCAGCUAACCAUCGUAUGUAAAGAAUUUGCAUUAGUUGACCCCAUUUGAAACCAGAGGCAGUUAUUCAUUUCCAUUAACCCAGUGCCACAGAUGAUUUCCUACAUUUAAGGUUAUGCUGAGAGCCAUUGUGUGUUUGCUGUGUAUUGCUUCAGUUUAUACAAAUGUUCAUGUUUAUUGGUAUGUGUGUUUGUUCAUUGUGAUUGCUGCGUUAGAUCAAAUGGUACUGGCUGUUUCUAUGAUUCUGUUUAAUCCGUCUCCCCCAGCAGUAGAUUAUGCACUUUUUGUUUCACCGUUUCAGACUAUAUUUUUAUGUUCAUGAAUUCUUCAUCAAGUGUCAUUCUUUUUUUAAAGGCAUCAUGUUACUUUGACUUUUGCAUUUGUGACCUUUAGAGUGGACUGUGCAUCCUUGCAGUAUAUGGGGUGGAGGGUCAAUCAAUGCAUACUGUAAAACAUUUGCCAGGAAAAAGUAAGACAAACAAAAACCGAACCUGGUACAUAUUAGCCAUUGCAUUGCAGAAAACGAAUUGAAAAUAUUGUAUUAUAGAAUGUACAAAACAUGUUGAGAUUAUAUAGUUGUUUAUUUUAUGAGAUGUCAAAUAGAUUGAAUAUAUGUUACAUGAUUUGAAAGUAAAACAAACAGAAGUAUUUUGUAACAGAUUAUUGAAGUGUCUUAUUUGGGGAGGUGAGGUUAUUAUUUUCUUCAGUUCAGCAAGUUGGUGUUAUGGUGUUUCACAGUCUAUUGUAUGGCUUGUUUUUUUCUGUCUGUAUAUACCAUCAAAAAUAAGCUUUAACAUAUUGUUAAUAUUGUUUAAAAAUAAACAAAUAAAAAGUUUACAUUCUGAAACAGCUUGGAUAUUAAUUAUGUGAUAGUGAUAUUGAAUUAUUUAUAAAUCUAUUAAUCUUGAUAAUGUGGUAUCUUUAAAAAUAAAUAUAAAAAAAAACAUGCAUUUUGUGCACUUUAUUCUGCGUGUUUUCAUUCAUGUAUAACUGAAGUUUAUUCUCUCUGAUGUAACUCUGAAAGGAAUCCAGUCCUGUUAAAAUACCCUAUAUAUACAAAAGUAUGUGGACACAACUUCAAAUUAAAGGAUUUGGUUAUUUCAGCCACAACCGUUACUGACAGGUUACUGACAGGUGUAUAAAAUCGAGCACACGGCCAUGCAAUCUCCACAGACAAACAUUGUCAGUAGAAUGGCCUUAUUGAAGAACUCAGUGACUUUCAACGUGGCACUGUCAUAGAAUGCCACCUUUACAACAAGUCAGUUCGUCAGAUAUCUACCCUGCUAGAGCUGCCUCGUGAACUGUAAGUGCUGUUAUUGUGAAGUGGAAACGUCUAGGAGCAACAACGGCCCAGUCACAAAGUGGUAGGCCGCACAAGCUCAAAGAACGGGACCGCCAAGUGCUGAAGCGCAUAAAAAUCGUCUGCCAUCGGUUGCAACACCAAACUGUCUCUGGAAGCAACAUCAGCACAAGAACUGUUCAUCAGGAGCUUCAUGAAAUGGGUUUCCAUGGCCAAGCAGCCACACACAAGCCUAAGAUCACCAUACACAAUGCCAAGCGUCGGCUGGAGUGGUGUAUUGCUCGCCCGCCAUUAAACUCUCUGGAGUGAUGAAUCACCCUUCACCAUCUGGCAGUCCAACAGGCAAAUCUGGAUUUGGCGGAUGCCAGGAGAAUUCUACCUGCCCGAAUACAUAGUACCAACUGUAAAGUUUGGUGGAUGAGGAAUAAUGGUCUGGGGCUGUUUUCAUGGUUUGGGCUAGGCACCUUAGUUCCAGUGAAGGGAAAUCUUAACACUACUGCAAACAGCGACAUUCUACACGAUUCUGUGCUUUCAACUUUGUGGCAACAGUUUGGGGAAAGCCCUUUCCUGUUUCAGCAUGACAAUGCCCAAUGGCACAAAGUGAGGUCCAUAUAGAAAUGGUUUGUCAAGAUUGCUGUGGAAGAACUUGACUGGCCUGCACAGAGCCCUGACCUCAACUCCAUCGAACACCUUUGGGAUUAAUUGGAACGUUGACUGCGAGCCAGGCCUAAUCACCCAACCCCAAUAAUGCUCUUGUGGCUGAAUGGAAGCAAGUCCCUGCAGCAAUGUUCCAACAUCUAGUGAAAUGCCUUCCCAGAAGAGUGGAGGCUGUUGUAGCAGCAAAGGGGUACCAACUCCAUAUUAAUGCCCAUGAUUUUGAAAUGAGAUGUUCGACGGGCAGGUGUCACAUACUUUUGGUCCUGUAACGUUAGUGUAUGUAUGUAGUAGGCUACGUUGUCAGUGCGGCGUCGCUGAUGUGUGGAAUGACAGCUUCCUAUAUUCAAAUCCACUGGCGCCGAAGCAAAAGCUGAACUUUGAUAAAUUCGGCCUACUACCAGAAAGUAUACUGUAGCUACACUUUUCCAACCAACUUGUCGUGAUUUUCAUAAGUCAAAAAGUAGCCAACGUUAGCUAGCUAGCUAAUCAUAAACCGUAAGAACGGAUAUCAUAUCAGUAACAUUAGCAUGCUAGCUAUCUGGCUGGCUAGCAGCUGAGUUAGUUACUACAGUCACGUUUUUCUGCAAGAUUUGAUUUGGCAAGACAUAUACAGCUAGCACUGGGUUGAUGGUUAACGGUAACUCUUGUUUGCGUGGUCAGCUGCUGUACAGUAGUCAGCAAAUGGCUGUUUAAACUGUGUUUACAUAGCUACCUAGGUACUUUUUUUAGCAGCUAACGUUAGCUAACUUGUUGUAAACAAACCCAUUUCGCCCAGCGCACGGUCUGUUAUGCACAUUAAUGAACCAUACCUGAAGAAGUUGAAAAAACAUCGAAUCUGACAUAUUUCUUACUCUACUUUGGGACAGUUCUUUACAGCAAAAACUCAUACACUUCAAAUUGACAAAACUGAUGCUGUUAUUUGACUUCAGAGAUAUUUGACACAACAAAAACCUUACAGCUAAGACACGACAGUGAGUGAGUCUGGCAAGCCACGUGCAUACCGUAGUUUAAAUGAUCUGGUCCACAAAAACCUUCUUCGCAGUGGAAUUUAUAAUAACAUUACCCAGUGCUCAUUUGUUUACAAUAAGAAAUUAUUUGGUCAGGGUUGUGUUUACACUGAGAAGAUUGAACAUGGUUCACUUAAGAAGUCUAAUGUUUUGCGCAAGAUUAAGGACUUGGAUUCCCUCCCCAUGGUUACCAAGGAUGGAUUUAGAAACAUUGUGGCAUUGCAAAGUGAUGCACCCCUGCAGAUGGGCCACAAACAUUACCUGUCUCUUUCAGGAAUAAUGAGGGUCCUGAAGGCAGAGUAUAGGUUCUGGAUGGUAAAAUUAGAAUUUCAGUUGCUAACUAUUGUGAGAAUUACAAUGGUGAUUACCUGAACCAGACUUACUUCGAGGUCGCAGAUCAACGUGUAGAAUGAGCUGUGUCCAGAGUGGUACCAGAGACUGAAUGUUGGAACUGUGCUCUACCUCCAAAACUACACCCUCAAGCAGAGUAAUCCAAACAGGUCUCGACCUGACAUAGACAACCACAGAAUGAAGAGCUUUCACUCAGUAGCAUUAUGCUGAAGAAGACUGUUGUUGGUGGCCAUUAUUUCUUCCCUCACACCCCUCAGAUAUUCACACAGUCAGUGGCAGAUGGCUCAGCUCAAGUUCUUCUGGUUGCUGCAAAUUACCUAAAGAGGGAGAUGGAUGGUCUGCAUUAUUGUCCACACAAGCAGCUGGCAAUCCAAGGUCAGAUCAUUGCUGUGCAAUAUGUGGCAUGGCCAGAGGAGGCACUGUCAGACCAGGUAGGCUUUAUUGCUUGCUUGCUUUACAGUGGGUUAUACAAUGAACUUAAGGAGGAUCUUUUGGUCAGCUGUCCUGCCAAAAUCAAAAUUUUAACAGUCUUGAUGAAAAUAACCCAUUAUGUGACAUUUUAUCAGGUAACAAUAAUGUAAAUGCCUGUGCCAAAGCCUGCCACCUUAUCCUCCAACGGAUACUUCAUUUUUAUAAGGGCCCAAUUGUCCUUUUAUCCGCUGUACUUUAUGCAUAAAUGUGUAUAGAAUAUAUAUUACGCCUGUACCAUGUUUGCCUAUGAUUGUUUUUAGUGUUUCAAAACUCAAUUUGAGUGGUCCACAAUGUGGUUUAAAAAAGAAAAUCUGUAUUAUAGUAUCAUAGUGGAGUGACACGUCAAUACAUUUUUCUAACUCUAGAUACAUUGAGUACACAAAACAUUAAGAACACAUGCUCUGUCCAUGACAGACUGACCAGUUCAAUGCAAUGAUCCCUCAUUGAUGUCACUUGUUAAAUCCACUUCAAUCAAUGUAUAUGAAGCGGAGGUUAAAACAUGAUUUUUAAGCUUUGAGACAUUUUAAUUUAACCCUUAUUUUACCAGGUAAGUUGACUGAGAACACAUUCUCAUUUACAGCAAUGACCUGGAGUAUAGUUACAGAGGAGAUAAAUGAGCCAAUUGGAAUGAAGGCCAGAUUGGGAAUUUAGCCAGGAUACCAGGGUUAACGCCCCUACUCUUACAAUAAAUGCCAUGGGAUCUUUAGUGACCACAGAGAGUCAGGACACCCAUUUAACGUCCCAUCUGAAAGACGACAUCCUACUCAGGACAAUGUUCCUAAUCACUGCCCUAGGGCAUUGGGAUAUUUGUUGUUUGUUUUUUUGACCAAAGGAAACAGUGCCUCCUACUGGCCCUCUAACACCACUUCCAGCAGCAUCUGGCAAGCCAGCAGUAUGCUGCAGGGUGGUGUGCUGCAGGGUGGUGUGCUGCAGGGUGGUGUGCUGCAGGGUGGUGUGCUGCAGGGUGGUGUGCUGCAGGGUGGUUUGCUGUGCAUGUGUGCCAUUCAGGGGGGUGAAUGGGCAAGACAAAAGAUUUAAGUGCCUUUGAACAGGGUAUGGUAGUAGGUGCCAGGCACACCGGUUUGUGUCAAGAACUGCAACACUGCUGGGUUUUUCACGCUCAACAGUUUCCCAUGUUUAUCAAGAAUGGUCCACUACUCAAUGGACUUCAAGCCAACUUAACACAACUGUGGGAAGCAUUGGAGUCAACAUGGGCCAGCAUCCCUGUGGAAUGGUUUUGACGCCUUAUAGCGGUGCGCAACUCAAUAUUAGGAAGGUGUUCCUAAUGUUUUCUAUACUCAGUGCAUAUAACACAUUUCAUGUUAUUUUAACACACUAAUUCUCUUUUUCUAAAGUCGAUGCAUUGUUUUUUUUUUACAAGAAAAGGAACAGGACAGGAUACAUUGAAAGACAAAAAAACAACAGUUGCCUGUACAUAACUUUAUAGGAAUGAUUUGGCAUUGGUAAGUCAAGUUUAGAAUACGGUUCAGUCUGUGGGUGAGCCUGUUGUGGCUGUACCUAAUCCACAAAGUGAUCAGAAAACUGUAGACGUAACUGAAACACAGGGAAACAGCACCAUCUGGUGUACAGAGCUCACUCAGCAGACGGGGGAAAAACAACCCAAGAAGAGGUGAGUUUCAAAACACAGGUGGGCUAUAAAACAUUACUAAACAUUUCAAAUUGUACUUGUAACUCCCCUUUACUACGGCAUUUGAAAUUGUAUUUGUAUAUUUUACAUUGUCAUGAUGACGUCACUUGCGUGUUUUAGAAUAAUUGUAUUUUGUUUUUUAGAGUGAUGAAGCAAUGCUACAUCACUCGUGCCAGGAUGCAAGAGAAAAGGUACUGAAUAAAUGUCUAUCCUCUGCCAUAAUCAGUUCUCUAUGCCCAUCAGGGACCCACCCAGUAGCUCAGGUUAUGAGAGCUUUGUCUGUUCACAGAGAAGCUGGCCGUGGCUUUACAGAAUAGGAGCUAGUGGAGCAGGAAGAGGAGAGUGAUUCUGAAUCAGAGGAAGAAGUUGGUCCUCUAGAAGGAAACCCAGACCAAACCAGAGCCAGUGAACAACAAAGUCCAUCAGAAUGACGGCGCUCCAAGAGAGAGUGGUUACCUACUGUGGAUGGAUCAUCGGGGAAAGCAGCUCGUGGCUGAAGCAGAGAUGAGAAGUGUCAGAAUAUUUGGGUCAAUGACGAAUAAGGUUUUCAAAAACAUUUUAAAAGGGAAAAAUAUUAAUUUCGAAACAGUUUUUAUGUUCCCUUGAGUGUUACUUACAAUUUGUAUGCACAUUCAGGAUUUGUCGCUUUUUAUGCAACUUCAAUUUACCACCUAAAAAAGUCAUCCUGUGUGACCAUUCAUUUUUUUAUAUAAAAACUGUUUUCUGACCAUUAUUUCUAGCAAAGAAGAGUAAAAUAUGAAUAUUAACAUGGUCUCAGUUAUUCAACAUCAAAGAAGUUAAAAAUUACAGUAUAAUUUUUACAUUUUUGUACUUUUCACUGGACGAUCCCACAUUUUGAAUGACUGUCAACUAAAACUUCUGUUAGAGAAAUUAAAUCCAUAUACAAUUUUACAAAAAUGCAUUUUUCUCUUAUAGACGAGAUUCUUUCUGCAUUUUUUUAGACAAUGAAAUAAUGCAAUUGUUUUUAACCAUUAAGUACUGAAUUAUCAUUGCUGGUUGCACCGAAUGACUAUUAUUUUACAGUGUCAUUUUUUUAGGCAGAUCUCUUUCCCUCUUACAGAAACACACACAUACAUAAACAGUAUGGUUUCUUAUUCAACAACAAUGAUGCCUUUAAUGCUUAAUAAAUUACAAAAAAUGUGACUCAAAUGUUUAUCACGCAGAAACAUUUCAUCAUGAACAUGGCAAUGAACUUCUAAAAAUGAUUACAAUUCUGCAUUAUGAUACAUUUUUCAAACAAUGUUAAAACAGUUAAGAAUCAAUGUAAUACAUACAUAGUAAAGUUCUUGAAGUACAGUAAUGACAUUCAAAC
Molecule: long non-coding RNA, 9780 nt
Filed under: Salmo salar (Atlantic salmon)
Lineage: Eukaryota; Metazoa; Chordata; Actinopteri; Salmoniformes; Salmonidae
Description: lncRNA (ENSSSAG00000096948.1)
Source: RNAcentral